This 55-nucleotide ribosomal RNA is filed under the name uncultured Thelephoraceae. RNAcentral's name for it is "partial 28S ribosomal RNA". The record is from RNAcentral. Lineage: Eukaryota; Fungi; Basidiomycota; Agaricomycetes; Thelephorales; Thelephoraceae.
AUCUCAAAUCAGGUAGGAUUACCCGCUGAACUUAAGCAUAUCAUAAGCGGAGGAA